GCGCACCAGUCGCGAAACCUCCGCAAUGCUCGAAAGAGCGACGGGGGGACUCCAAGUGCCUACGCUUUGCGUAGGCUUUUCCCAAGCCUAAAAAGCUUGGGGAAUAAGGGCUGGGUAAGACGGGUGCCAGCCGCCGCGGUAAUACCCGCAGCCCGAGUGGUGGCCGCUUUUAUUGGGGCCUAAAGCGUCCGUAGCCGGUCUGGUAAAUGCCUGGGUAAAUCGUCUGGCUCAACCAGACGAAUUCCGGGUAGACUGCCAGACUAGGGACCCGGAGGAAGGAGAGGGUACUCCGGGGUAGGGGUGAAAUCAGCAAGGUGAGUUGUUGAUGUAACUUGCCUUGCAAGUCACAAUCCUGUAAUCCUCGGAGGACCACCGGUGGCGAAGGCUCUCUCCUAGGACGGGUCCGACGGUGAGGGACGAAAGCCAGGGGAGCAAACCGGAUUAGAUACCCGUGUAGU
This 458-nucleotide ribosomal RNA is filed under the name uncultured microorganism. RNAcentral's name for it is "bacterial SSU rRNA". It matches the Rfam family "Archaeal small subunit ribosomal RNA", at positions 330 to 745 of the family's 1478-position model. The record is from RNAcentral.